Molecule: long non-coding RNA, 222 nt
Filed under: Helianthus annuus (common sunflower)
Lineage: Eukaryota; Viridiplantae; Streptophyta; Magnoliopsida; Asterales; Asteraceae
Description: hypothetical non coding rna
Source: RNAcentral
UCAAAGGGUAGUUCUAGGGAUUUCUCUGAGAUGCGGUAUUUGCGUAGGGGUCUUGGAAUGGUCCACGGACGCCUUCUAGACCCAAGUAAUGAGCCGAUUCACAAACCCAUGUUAUAGGUCUGUUAUAAGGGAAGUGUCGCGUACCCGGGUAUUGGAAAAACUAUAAAAAUUUUGAAACGAGUCAAAGGGUAGGUCUUGGGAAUUCUACUUCAUCCGGUUCUU